CCUACGGGAGGCAGCAGUGGGGAAUAUUGCACAAUGGGGGAAACCCUGAUGCAGCGACGCCGCGUGAAGGAAGAAGUAUUUCGGUAUGUAAACUUCUAUCAGCAGGUAAGAAGAUGACGGUACCUGACUAAGAAGCACCGGCUAAAUACGUGCCAGCAGCCGCGGUAAUACGUAUGGUGCAAGCGUUAUCCGGAUUUACUGGGUGUAAAGGGAGCGUAGACGGAGAGGCAAGUCUGAAGUGAAAGCCCGGGGCUCAACCCCGGGACUGCUUUGGAAACUGCAGUUCUAGAGUGCCGGAGAGGUAAGCGGAAUUCCUAGUGUAGCGGUGAAAUGCGUAGAUAUUAGGAGGAACACCAGUGGCGAAGGCGGCUUACUGGACGGUGACUGACGUUGAGGCUCGAAAGCGUGGGGAGCAAACAGGAUUAGAUACCCCGGUAGUC
This 440-nucleotide ribosomal RNA is filed under the name uncultured bacterium. RNAcentral's name for it is "bacterial SSU rRNA". It matches the Rfam family "Bacterial small subunit ribosomal RNA", at positions 338 to 795 of the family's 1533-position model. The record is from RNAcentral.